GGCGUCGCAGGGCAGCGUGGGGAUGGACUUCGGAACUAGAGCGCCGUGGGUUGAGAACGCCGCUCCGCCUGACGUCCCACGUGGUAGUGAUUUUUGCGGUGGACGGUGUUAACAGAAGAGCCGCUCGUCUCCCGGCAGCUUUCUCGCCGUGUUAGUGCUUCCUGUUACUUCGAUCUGCCGCGUCUUCUGUGCUUGUGGUUCGAAUCCCCGGGUUGCUCUUCGUGGAGUGGAAGCCAAAAUCUUGGUUGAGCUGUCAGAAGAAAUGGUGAACAGGUGGCCACCUACAAGUUCUUUGUAUGUUUAAUUACAGUUAACUACAUCACCUCUGUCUGCGCUGUCACUUCCCAUUUCUGGCGCUUCCUCGUGGCCUGAUGGCGUUCUAAAUCUUUCCAAGGCGCUGCUUGGAAAGUCCGCACCUGCGUGAUGUGUAGUAGUUCCGACCCCUUGAACAGAGAUCGUAAUUAAAAGGGAACCUGGAAAAUUAAAGAUGGUGCGGAGAGAAAUUGCUCUUGUUCAUCAAGGGGUAUUGUGUGGAAUAGUGUGCUAACUUUUUCAAUUUAUGAAUUCUAAAGAACCCAA
Molecule: long non-coding RNA, 579 nt
Organism: Phyllostomus hastatus (greater spear-nosed bat)
Lineage: Eukaryota; Metazoa; Chordata; Mammalia; Chiroptera; Phyllostomidae
Exons: 3
Source: RefSeq, a predicted model, not a curated record